GCGCCCGUAGCUCAUCUGGAUAGAGCGACUGCCUCCGGAGCAGUAGGUAGUGGGUUCAAAUCCCGCCGGGCGCACCA
RNAcentral lists this transfer RNA (77 nucleotides) under Bacteroidales bacterium. RNAcentral's name for it is "tRNA-Arg". It matches the Rfam family "tRNA". Rfam says of the family: Transfer RNA (tRNA) molecules are approximately 80 nucleotides in length. Lineage: Bacteria; Pseudomonadati; Bacteroidota; Bacteroidia; Bacteroidales. The record is from RNAcentral.